This 507-nucleotide ribosomal RNA is filed under the name uncultured bacterium. RNAcentral describes it as "bacterial SSU rRNA". It matches the Rfam family "Bacterial small subunit ribosomal RNA", at positions 15 to 518 of the family's 1533-position model. The record is from RNAcentral.
GAUUAUGGCUCAGGAUGAACGCUAGCUACAGGCUUAACACAUGCAAGUCGAGGGGUAGCAGGGUAGCAAUACCGCUGACGACCGGCGCACGGGUGAGUAACACGUAUCCAACCUUCCCAUAACUCAGGGAUAGCCUUUCGAAAGAAAGAUUAAUACCUGAUAGUACUUUUUCAAGGCAUCUUGAGAAAGUUAAAGAUUUAUUGGUUAUGGAUGGGGAUGCGUUCCAUUAGAUAGUUGGUGAGGUAACGGCUCACCAAGUCUUCGAUGGAUAGGGGUUCUGAGAGGAAGGUCCCCCACAUUGGUACUGAGACACGGACCAAACUCCUACGGGAGGCAGCAGUGAGGAAUAUUGGUCAAUGGGCGAGAGCCUGAACCAGCCAAGUAGCGUGAAGGAAUGAAGGUCCUAUGGAUUGUAAACUUCUUUUAUAGUAGAAUAAAGUGAUCCACGUGUGGAUUUUUGUAUGUAUACUAUGAAUAAGGAUCGGCUAACUCCGUGCCAGCCGCCGC